GCCGCAUUAGGAGAUAGGAUCCAAGCAAGUGUCGCUCAAAUGAGCACAUGACCGAAUGACAUCACUUUAGGGCACGCAGCGCGUAUCCAUGGCAACGCUCAGCUGCGUAGUGACAGUUAACGGACAUUUCGGUGAUUCCCUCAAACACGGCCUUGAGUUUUCACUUUUGUUUGGUCGAAAAGGUUAGAAGACAAUGGGAAGAAUUGCCAUCGGAUCGGACUAACCACAGCUGACAACCAGAGAUGCACACACACACCCAUCCACUAACACACACACACACACACACACACACACACACACACACACACACACACACACACACACGAAAAGAGCACUGCAACUUUACAAUUGGUCAAGUACCCAUGAUUCGAGGAUCCUAAAUUGGGAGAACUCAUUGGAUUAAAGCAGGGACCAGUGGAAUCACAUCAGACAGCAGAACAGCAGAUAAUCUAAACAACUGUUCACUGCAUCACCUGAUAACAAAUCUAGAAGACAUAUAUUUCUUCUUUUCUGAGAAGCUAGACAGACAUCGAUCAUUUCCAUUUGAAAGGAAUCUGGACACAAUGGCAGUUGCUCCGAAGAAGACACACCAGAAUUAUUUAAAGAGUGUCCAUGGCAUUCUAAAAGGAACUCCUGUUUUUUCGACUUUUCCAUUGAGUCUUUUGUUUGUUGGAUUGGAGAAGCUGAUUGAAAUAGAAAUGUUUUCAUGCCCAUGCACAGACAUGCUAAAUAAAUUGCUAACAGUGUCCAUCUUCACUGGACCUGCUCUUUUUACGUAUGCUUUAAUGUUCCUCCUUUUAAGACCUUUUAAACAUACUGCAAGCUUACAAAAGAAAACUCUGUAUAACGGUCCUAAAAAAUUUCUAGCGUGUCUAAUUCCACCUAUACUUGGGAUCAUCAUCUUGUUAGUUGAUGGUGAUUACUUUGCUUGUGCCAUGACAGACUGGAAGGGAAUUUAUGAGUUUGAUAAGGCGAUCAACAGGUCUUGGUGUAAACCUCCUGAAGGGACACAAAAUGUGACAGAGCUGAGAGGUCUGACUUGGAAACAUGUUCAUCAAUCUCAGUGUGCCGGGUAUGUCUUGAUCUCUGUCUUCAGUGCCUUGAUGAUUGUCUUUUUGGGUAUUCAUGACUGCUGCAUUCGUGGGAGAUGUGAUUGCUGCCCAAGUCGACUGUUAUGCUGCAAACGAACAGAAGAGAAAAAGCAUGAGACAGAAGAGAAAAAGGAUGAGACAGAAGAGAAAAAGGAUGAGAGUCCAGAAAGUUCAGAAAUUAGAAAAAAGUUAAGUUUAGCCUAUGUAGUUCUUAAAAUAUAAAAGGAAUGAACUUGUGAGGGUUGUCUAAUGCAAUAACGUGCCUAGUCAUAUAUACAUAAAGUUGUUCUAAAACCUUUGGAUAUUUUAAAUAAAUUUAAAGUAUGGAUUUUAAAGUAGUAAUCUUACAAAAAAAUAAAAAUAAAUAAAUAAAUAAUAAUAAUAAUAAUAAUAAUGUUUCAUUAAAUGCAUCUAACUGUCUUUCUGUCAUUUAGUAGGGUCUCAUGGCAUAUACUUUUAAUUUUACUGAUUUGUUUUAGAAAUAUGUUAUUCUCAUGCUUGGUGACGGUAAUAAAUGUAUAUACUAUUUCAGAGUAUCAAUAAUAUUGGUGUUUAUGUGCCUGUCAGCUAUCAUUUCUUAAGAGCAGGGAUGUGCAAUCCUGUUCCUGGAGGGCUGGUGUCCUGCAAAGUUCAGCUCAAACCCCAAUUAAAUACACAUUAACUAAUCAAGGUCUUACUAGGCAUACUAGAAAGUUCCAGGCAGGUGUGCAGAGACAAACUGGAGCUAAGUCUUUUCAGGACACUGGCUCUCCAGGAUAGAGUAUCGACACCCCUGCUUAAGAGUCUAAGAUUAUAAUUACCUGAAUUAUAUAGAAAUGAUUAUACUGCAUGAAAUUUAUUUUUAAUAUUUGUAAAUGUGACCCUGGACCACAACACCAGUCUUAAGUCGCUGGGGUAUAUUUGUAGCAAUAGCCAAAAAAUACAUUGUAUGGGUCAAAAUUAUAGAUUUUUCUUUUAUGCCAAAAAUCAUUAGGAUAUAAGCAAAGAUCAUGUUCCAUGAAGAUAUUUUGUAAAUUUCCUUUUGUAAGUAUAUUAAAACACAUUUAUUGAUUAGUAAUAUGCAUGGCUUAGAACUUCAUUUGGACAACUUUAAAGGCGAUUUUCUCAAUAUUUUGAAUUUUUUGCACCCUCAGAUUCCAGAUAUUCAAAUAGUUGUAUCUCAGCCAAAUAUUUUCCAAUCCUAACAAAGCAUACAUCAAUGGAAAGCUUAUUUAUGUAGCAAUCUCAAUUUCCAAAAUUUGACACUUAUGACUUUGUGGACCAGGGUCACAAAUGUCCAGUGUGUUUUCAUGUAGAAUGGGGUAGAAAACUUGUCUCAUUUUGUUAAUCUAAUGAAUAUUUCUCUGGCUCUCACAGUUAUAUAAAGAUAUAGGAAUGUUUUCAACAAUAUAUAUUUGAAUCUUACUAAACCAAUUCCAGAUUAUAAACUUUAUAGUCACUGGGAUUUGAGACACCAAGCCUUCUAUUUUUUAAUUUUAAUUCUUUCACUUUAGCUUACACUUUAAAAAUGACUUUUUAAUGCCAUUUAAAAAUGCCUCAUACAUUUAUUCUAUAUUGUAUUUAUCUAUACUGAUCACUGGAAAUGUAAGUUAAAAGACAAUUCUUUUUAAUGGUUAAAAUGACAGUGAUUGUGGUUUUAACAUUGUAUUGUUGCUGUAUUACAAUUAAACUUAUUGUGCACACAUCAAUGCUUGUGCAUAAGCAAAUUUAUUUUUGUAAAAUGUCCAUGUCCAUGCAACGAGACACAAGCAUUCCAACUUCAGGCCUGUGAUGAAACUGAAUAGCAUCAUCUUUCUUAGACCUGCUCUUCUAGCUCUUACUGUAAUGAUUUUCAUUCAAAAGCCUUCCAGAUGUUCAUAUUACUGUAAUUUACAAUGUAAUUAAUUUUUUGAUAAUAAUAAAUAUUUUUUUCAUACAAGGUUUCCC
Molecule: long non-coding RNA, 3017 nt
Organism: Cyprinus carpio carpio
Lineage: Eukaryota; Metazoa; Chordata; Actinopteri; Cypriniformes; Cyprinidae
Source: Ensembl